UACUGAACUGUCAUUUCCGAAAUCUCAUUGCCUGAAUGCUGAUACCUUUGUUUUAGUCUUAUGAGCCUGUGCCAAUGACGUAUUUAUGAUUUCAUUUGAGGAACUGAAGUUGACUGCAGCAUUAAUUCUUCUCCAUUCAGAUUCAGAACCUAUAGCCUGGAGAAGAGGCAGAUGGGAUUGGCAGGUGUGUGUGCGUGUCAGAGCCCAGAUUAACAUUCCCUACUGAGAGCAUUGAAUCAUGGGUAGCCAGCAUUUCAUUUAUACCCAGUGCAGCUGUGUCUAGGAAAGAAAGUAGCGCACAUGACCACUGACAUGGCCUGCCGUCAUGCCUCAGCAGUGUAUGGAGCUGAAGAAGCCAGCGAGUCAGGUUGGUAGACACUAUAUAAUUAUCCCAGCCUACAGCUCACACCUGCUUUGCAGGAAAAGGAAUGUUGCGUGACAGGCUUGCACCAGAGUUUUUCCCAGAUAGUUUUCAAAUAUCAGAUUGAGUUUAUUUCAUGCUAUCUUGAAGCCUACUUGAGGAUAAUCAGAAGAAAUAUGGGGUUAACUGGAGGACAAUGGAGAGAAGAGGAUAACCUAACCUGUCACACUUUUAUACCAAACUGUCACACAGAAUGAUGAAAAGCCAUAGGUACUGUUGGGUCUGGGGCUCUGACAUUUUGUUCUUGAAGUCAGUGAUCAGUUUUGGUUUCUGACUGAUAAAGUGUUUAUGCCUAGAUCGGCAAAUACACCUGGGCUGGGUGGUAGACAUUGACAUUAUAGCUAUGAUCUUCUAGGUAACUAGGUUUGUGUCUGAGCUCGACUUUCUGUGCAAACAAUGCUUUAUCUCUGCGCUGGGUGACCUGGGCUGGCUGCCAGGCCCCCACCCAGCUGCUCUUUCACUCCACCUUCUCAACAGGACAUGGGGAGGAGGUAAGAUAGAAAAGCUCAUGGACUGAGAUAGAGACGGGGAGAUCACUUGCCAGUUACCAUCAUGUGCAAGACAGAGGUGACCUGGGGAAAAUUAAUUUAAUAUAUU
This 1018-nucleotide long non-coding RNA is filed under the name Anser cygnoides (Swan goose). RNAcentral describes it as "lncRNA (ENSACDG00005003947.1)". The record is from RNAcentral. Lineage: Eukaryota; Metazoa; Chordata; Aves; Anseriformes; Anatidae.